UACUAAAAAUACAAAAAUUAGCCAGGCGUAGUGGCGGGCGCCUGUAAUCCCAGCUACUGAGGAGGCUGAGGCAGGAGAAUUGCUUGAACCCAGGAGGCAGAGGUUGCAGUGAGCUGAGAUUGCACCACUGUACUCCAGCCUGGGUGACAGAGCAAGACUCUGUCUCAAAAAAAAAAAAAAUAUGUCUUGGCUGGGCACGGCGGCUCAUGCCUGUAAUCCUAGCACUUUGGGAGGGCGAGGUGGGCAGAUCACUUGAAGCCAGGAGUUUGAGAGCAGCCUGGCCAACAUGGCAAAACCUCAGCUCUACUAAAAAUACAAAAAUUAGCCGGGCAUGGUGAUGCGCACCUGUGGUCCCAGCUAUUCAGGAGGCUGAGGCACAGGAAUCACUUGAACCCGGGAGGCAAAGUUGCGGUGAGCUGAGAUCAUGCAACUGCACUCCAGCCUGGCUGAUGCGCGAGAUCGUAUCUCAAAAAAAAAAAAAGUGAAAAAACAAGAGUAUGUCUUUUAUUAUUUUUACUGCCCCUUCUUGUAACUAGGUUCCCUUUAGCAUUUUUUUACUAUUCAUACCCUUCAAUCUAUGCAUAUGUGUAUAAUCCAGGUUUGGUAUAGGAGUGCAGUUCACAGGACAAACUUGGGACUCCAGACUCCUUGAAUUCAAAUCUUGGUUCCAAUUACCAACUUAUAUAACCAUAGAGAGGUUAUUUGACCUUCCCAAACCUUGGCUUCUUGAUUUUCUCUGUGUAGAAUAGGGUUAAUAAUAGUAUUUGCCUCAUAUGAUGAUAAAGAAGAUGGUAAGGAUAUUGGUAAUGAAGGAGUGAUGAGAGAAUCUGUGCAAAGUGCUCGAUAAAUGUCACCUGCUGCCAUUUUGGCUAGGAAUCAUCCUUGAUCCCAUUUUCUCCAGACUUCCCACAUGUAGAUUAUCAGUAAGUCCUAAGGACUCUGUCUUCAAAACACAUCCUGAUGUCUCCAUCCUUGUGCAGACCACUGCCGUCUCCCACCUGCAAUAUUGCACAGCCUCUUAAUUAGUCGCACUGAUACUGUUUCUUGUACCCCUACCAUCUAUUCAUCCCAGAGCAGCUGAGGUCAUUUUUUUAAACAUAGAUUGUGUCAUUUUCAUGACUGGAACCUUCCAUUAGCUUACUGUUUUACUUAGUAUAAAACCCAAACUCCUUGUGUGGCCUUAGCCCUGAAGUUUUUUGGCCUCUGCUUCCUUCUCAUGCCAGCUUCCUGCUUGCCCAUUAGUCUCCAACCACACUGGCAUCCUUUUGGCUCUGUGAGUGUGCCAAGCUCAUACCUGCUAUAGAGCCUUAACACUAGCUGUUCGCUCUCCAGGAAUAACUUUUCCCCAUCCUGCCAUGACUGGCUUUUUCUUGUAUUCAGGUCUCAGCUCAAAUGUCAGUUCAUCAGAGAGACCUCCAACUACCAACUUAAGUGGCCCCUUCAGUCACUAUCUAUAACAGGGGUAUCCAAUCUUUGGCUUCCCUGAGCCACAUCGGAAGAAGAAUUAUCUUGGGCCACACAUAAAAUAUACUAACACUAAUGAUAGCUGAUGAGCUUAAAAAAAAAAAAAAAAAAAGAGAAAAGAAUCACAAAAAAAUCUCAUAAUGUUUUAAGAAAGUUUAUGAAUUUGUGUUGGGCCACAUUCAAAGCCAUCUUGGGCCAUGGGUUGAACAAGCUUGAUCUGUAAUAUUACAUUACUUUAUUUUAUUUUUUAUUAUCUCCAAUUUUACUAAUUAUUUGUCUCCACCAGAAUGGAAGUUCUCUGAGAGCAAGGCCCUCAUCUUCCUUGGUCUCUAUAUGUCUCCAGUGACAAGACAUUGGCUGGCACAUCAUAGAUGUACAUCAAUUUGUAUUUG
This 1856-nucleotide long non-coding RNA is filed under the name Homo sapiens (human). RNAcentral's name for it is "HSALNT0029208". The stretch from base 21 to 168 matches the Rfam family "Metazoan signal recognition particle RNA". Lineage: Eukaryota; Metazoa; Chordata; Mammalia; Primates; Hominidae. The record is from RNAcentral.